GAUGAACGCUAGCGGCAGGCCUAACACAUGCAAGUCGAGGGGCAUCAUGGCGUAGCAAUACGCUGAUGGCGACCGGCGCACGGGUGCGUAACGCGUAUGGAACCUACCCACCGCAGGGGGAUAACCCGCCGAAAGGCGGACUAAUACCCCAUGGUUCCCCGACCCUGCCUGGGGUUGGGGGUAAAGCCUACGGGCGGCGGUGGAUGGCCCUGCGUGCCAUUAGCUGGCUGGUGGGGUAACGGCCCACCAGGGCGACGAUGGCUAGGGGGUCUGAGAGGACGAUCCCCCACACUGGUACUGAGACACGGACCAGACUCCUACGGGAGGCAGCAGUGAGGAAUAUUGGUCAAUGGGCGGAAGCCUGAACCAGCCAUGCCGCGUGCAGGAUGACGGCCCUACGGGUUGUAAACUGCUUUUCCCCGGGGCGAACUAACCCCCUCGCGAGGGGGAGUGGCCGGGUACCGGGGGAAGUAAGGGACGUACGGGCGUAAACCGUCCGUCGCCCGACGGCCGACGGCCCGGACCGGUAAAAACUCCGAACCGGUGUACCGUGGAGGCCGGGCGUAC
RNAcentral lists this ribosomal RNA (567 nucleotides) under uncultured bacterium. RNAcentral's name for it is "bacterial SSU rRNA". The stretch from base 12 to 503 matches the Rfam family "Bacterial small subunit ribosomal RNA", at positions 39 to 535 of the family's 1533-position model. The record is from RNAcentral.